This 600-nucleotide ribosomal RNA is filed under the name Pseudomonas putida. Its description in RNAcentral is "bacterial SSU rRNA". It matches the Rfam family "Bacterial small subunit ribosomal RNA", at positions 138 to 733 of the family's 1533-position model. The record is from RNAcentral. Lineage: Bacteria; Pseudomonadati; Pseudomonadota; Gammaproteobacteria; Pseudomonadales; Pseudomonadaceae.
GGGGGACAACGUUUCGAAAGGAACGCUAAUACCGCAUACGUCCUACGGGAGAAAGCAGGGGACCUUCGGGCCUUGCGCUAUCAGAUGAGCCUAGGUCGGAUUAGCUAGUUGGUGAGGUAAUGGCUCACCAAGGCGACGAUCCGUAACUGGUCUGAGAGGAUGAUCAGUCACACUGGAACUGAGACACGGUCCAGACUCCUACGGGAGGCAGCAGUGGGGAAUAUUGGACAAUGGGCGAAAGCCUGAUCCAGCCAUGCCGCGUGUGUGAAGAAGGUCUUCGGAUUGUAAAGCACUUUAAGUUGGGAGGAAGGGUUGUAGAUUAAUACUCUGCAAUUUUGACGUUACCGACAGAAUAAGCACCGGCUAACUCUGUGCCAGCAGCCGCGGUAAUACAGAGGGUGCAAGCGUUAAUCGGAAUUACUGGGCGUAAAGCGCGCGUAGGUGGUUCGUUAAGUUGGAUGUGAAAUCCCCGGGCUCAACCUGGGAACUGCAUCCAAAACUGGCGAGCUAGAGUAUGGUAGAGGGUGGUGGAAUUUCCUGUGUAGCGGUGAAAUGCGUAGAUAUAGGAAGGAACACCAGUGGCGAAGGCGACCACCUGGA